CACGAACCGUCCAAACGUUAUUCGGAAUAACUGGGCUUAAAGGGUUCGUAGGCGGCUAUGAAGGUGGGGUGUGAAAUCCCUCGGCUCAACCGAGGAACUGCGCUCCAAACCACAUGGCUUGAGGGAGACAGAGGUAAGCGGAACUGAUGGUGGAGCGGUGAAAUGCGUUGAUAUCAUCAGGAACACCGGUGGCGAAGGCGGCUUACUGGGUCUCUUCUGACGCUGAGGAACGAAAGCUAGGGGAGCGAACGGG
This 253-nucleotide ribosomal RNA is filed under the name uncultured bacterium. Its description in RNAcentral is "partial 16S ribosomal RNA". It matches the Rfam family "Bacterial small subunit ribosomal RNA", at positions 524 to 776 of the family's 1533-position model. The record is from RNAcentral.